RNAcentral lists this small RNA (779 nucleotides) under Pan troglodytes (chimpanzee). RNAcentral describes it as "processed transcript". The record is from RNAcentral. Lineage: Eukaryota; Metazoa; Chordata; Mammalia; Primates; Hominidae.
ACUUGAGCUUCACGUGGUUGUGGAGGUAUGAGAGCAUGAGUGAUGCACUAGUAGUACUGGGGCCGGCUAGCUUGCCCUCUGAAGGUGCAGCCCUGGCCGCCUGUAUUGCACUAGUGAGCCCGUGAUCCUGGGGUUGCCAUCUCCAUGGACUGAGAGGUCGUGAUAGCCCUGCCUUAAAACACUGGCCUUGACUCUCCUGCCUUCCGUUGGGUGAACUCAGUGCAGAGCAUGGAGCAGGUCACGAUGCUCUCAAGUUGGUUCCCUCUGAGCGAGGAGCUCUUGGUGAACCUGAGCAAGGUGGGCGAGUAUUGGUGGAACGCCAUCCUGGAGGGAGAAGAGCCCAUCGACAUUGACAAGAUCAACAAGGAGCGCUCCAUGGCCACCGUGGAUGAGGAGGAACAGGCGGUGUUGGACAGGCUUACCUUUGACUACCACCAGAAGCUGCAGGGCAAGCCACAGAGCCAUGAGCUGAAAGUCCAUGAGAUGCUGAAGAAGGGGUGGGAUGCUGAAGGUUCUCCCUUCCGAGGCCAGCGAUUCGACCCUGCCAUGUUCAACAUCUCCCCGGGGGCUGUGCAGUUUUAAUGACCAGAAGGAAAGGAAACCCUCGCCGGUGGGGAGGCAGAGCCUUAUCCUCGGCUGCCCUUCUUGGCUCCCUGCAUUCCAGGGACUUGCUCGUCUUGUUUACCCCUAGCCAUCCUUUCUUUCAAGGGUGAACCAGGCCUUCCACCUUGACCUUGCAUCUCCAGACUGUUCCAGAGAAGGUGCGGGGCCAGCUGCUA